CUGCGUCAUGGGGGCCGGAAAGAUCACUUCUCAAAAGCUUUCAUAAUGAAAACAAAAAGCAUCGCCUUUUGGCUCCAUUGGUUUGAUGCCAAAGGCCUAAAGGAGGGAGGAACCGAUGCCGGAAUACGAUUGGACUUCAAUAUUCUCUUGACCAGUCUGCGCCUUGACCUGUAUUCCACGCAGACUGCUCGCAACCAGUGGAUUGACUCACAAGUCAACCAAGUCUUUGCCCCCAAGCCAACGAAGGUCCCCAAGAAAAGGCCGACGGACUUGGCGCAAGAAGGAUCGCUCGGGCUUCGCUGAAUGAAGUUUCCGCCGGUCGAGGUUAAGUUUAUGCUCUCACUGCUCAUCAUGUUUUCCUCUUCCUCUUCGAUGCCGUCCAAUUCUUCUGAGAACGCUCUGCCAGAAGAUGGGGUGUUUGAGGUCGACGACUAUCUCACCUUCGCCGAUGACGGACACGAAGAGGCCUCUUUGAGCCAUCCAUCCGUUCACCGGUAUCCUCUUGUGCAGGCCGCCGACUGCGCCGCCAACAAAACCAAGAUCACAGAUUGCAACAAAAGCAAGGAUGCCGGAAAGAGAUCUUCGAAGAGGAGCAGCAGUUUUAAAGUCGCAUUCAAAACAAAAUCAGAGCUUGAGAUAUUAGAUGAUGGAUACAAGUGGAGGAAGUAUGGGAAAAAAGCAGUGAAAAGCAGCCCAAAUCCCAGGAACUACUAUCGCUGCUCAAGCGAAGGAUGCCAAGUCAAGAAGAAAGUAGAGAGACACCGAGACGACUCAAGCUUUGUGAUAACCACCUAUGAGGGUACCCAUAACCAUCAUGCCCCCUACCCAGCAGUAACACAGCAUCGAGCUGUCGAAACACCUAAUUCCCAUGACCUCUCCUGCUGAACUGCAUUCAGGAUGACACUCGAAGAAGUGUUAGGACAAGUCAAUGCUGGCAUAGGUAACUCCGGAGUUAAAGAAUUGUAUUUCCAUUGUCAGGACCCUAAAAUCUUGGUCGACUAGUGUUAUUGUAAAUAAAGUUCUAUAUUCAUCAUCAGAAAGAACAUAUAAAUGGUAUGAAUGGUUGGUUUUGUUGGAAAA
Molecule: long non-coding RNA, 1080 nt
Organism: Musa acuminata AAA Group (dessert banana)
Lineage: Eukaryota; Viridiplantae; Streptophyta; Magnoliopsida; Zingiberales; Musaceae
Exons: 3
Source: RefSeq, a predicted model, not a curated record